UGCCUGUGGCAACUUAGAAUUGUGCGGACGAUUUUGGUUUUUACCAUAGCUCGCAAAUAACUGUUGACACUUUUUCGUUGUCUGCAAAUAAGUGUCUUUCACGCACUUAAU
Drosophila navojoa is the source of this 111-nucleotide long non-coding RNA. NCBI's taxonomy places the organism in Eukaryota, Metazoa, Arthropoda, Insecta, Diptera, Drosophilidae. The record is from RefSeq and is a predicted model, not a curated record.